Molecule: ribosomal RNA, 256 nt
Filed under: uncultured bacterium
Lineage: Bacteria
Description: partial 16S ribosomal RNA
Rfam family: Bacterial small subunit ribosomal RNA
Source: RNAcentral
GAUCCUGGCUCAGGAUGAACGCUAGCUACAGGCUUAACACAUGCAAGUCGAGGGGCGAUCAGUUUGGUUUGCUUUGCAACCAAAGCUGGCGACCGGCGCACGGGUGAGUAACACGUAUCCAACCUACCUCAUACUCGGGGAUAGCCUUUCGAAAGAAAGAUUAAUAUCCGAUAGCAUAUAUUUCCCGCAUGGGUUUUANAUUUAAAGAAAUUCGGUAUUGAGAUGGGGAUGCGUUCCAUUAGUUUGUUGGGGGGGG